CCGAAUGGGGAAACCCAGUGUGAUUCGUCACACUAUCAUUAACUGAAUCCAUAGGUUAAUGAGGCGAACCGGGGGAACUGAAACAUCUAAGUACCCCGAGGAAAAGAAAUCAACCGAGAUUCCCCCAGUAGCGGCGAGCGAACGGGGAGGAGCCCAGAGCCUGAAUCAGCAUGUGUGUUAGUGGAAGCGUCUGGAAAGGCGCGCGAUACAGGGUGACAGCCCCGUACACAAAAGCGCAUGUGCUGUGAGCUCGAUGAGUAGGGCGGGACACGUGGUAUCCUGUCUGAAUAUGGGGGGACCAUCCUCCAAGGCUAAAUACUCCUGACUGACCGAUAGUGAACCAGUACCGUGAGGGAAAGGCGAAAAGAACCCCGGCGAGGGGAGUGAAAAAGAACCUGAAACCGUGUACGUACAAGCAGUGGGAGCACCCUUCGGGGUGUGACUGCGUACCUUUUGUAU
Molecule: ribosomal RNA, 459 nt
Filed under: Salmonella enterica
Lineage: Bacteria; Pseudomonadati; Pseudomonadota; Gammaproteobacteria; Enterobacterales; Enterobacteriaceae
Description: bacterial LSU rRNA
Rfam family: Bacterial large subunit ribosomal RNA
Source: RNAcentral